AAUAGAUACCCUGGUAGUCCACGCCGUAAACGAUGAGUGCUAAGUGUUAGGAGGGUUUCCGCCCUUUAGUGCUGAAGUUAACGCAUUAAGCACUCCGCCUGGGGGAGUACGGCCGCAAGGCUGAAACUCAAAGGAAUUGACGGGGGGCCCGCACAAGCGGUGGAGCAUGUGGUUUAAUUCGAAGCAACGCGAAGAACCUUACCAGGUCUUGACAUCCUCUGACAACCCUAGAGAUAGGGCUUCCCCUUCGGGGGGCAGAGUGACAGGUGGUGCAUGGUUGUCGUCAGCUCGUGUCAUGAGAUGUUGGGUUAAGUCCCGCAACGAGCGCAACCCUUGAUCUUAGUUGCCAUCAUUCAGUUGGGCACUCUAAGGUGACUGCCGGUGACAAACCGGAGGAAGGUGGGGAUGGACGGUCAAAUCAUCAUGCCCCUUAUGACCUGGGCUACACACGUGCUACAAUGGACGGUACAAAGAGUCGCAAGACCGGCGAGGUGGAGCUAAUCUCAUAAAACCGUUCUCAGUUCGGAUUGUAGGCUGCAACCCCG
This 545-nucleotide ribosomal RNA is filed under the name uncultured bacterium. RNAcentral describes it as "bacterial SSU rRNA". It matches the Rfam family "Bacterial small subunit ribosomal RNA", at positions 777 to 1314 of the family's 1533-position model. The record is from RNAcentral.